Molecule: ribosomal RNA, 238 nt
Filed under: uncultured bacterium
Lineage: Bacteria
Description: partial 16S ribosomal RNA
Rfam family: Bacterial small subunit ribosomal RNA
Source: RNAcentral
CGGCGGACGGGUGAGUAACGCGUGGAUAACCUGCCUCACACUGGGGGAUAACAGUUAGAAAUGGCCGCUAAUACCGCAUAAGCGCACAGUACCGCAUGGUACGGUGUGAAAAACCCAGGUGGUGUGAGAUGGAUCCGCGUCUGAUUAGCCAGUUGGCGGGGUAACGGCCCACCAAAGCGACGAUCAGUAGCCGACCUGAGAGGGUGACCGGCCACAUUGGGACUGAGACACGGCCCAA